AUUGAACGCUGGCGGCAUGCUUUACACAUGCAAGUCGAACGGUAACAGGGAGCUUGCUCCGCUGACGAGUGGCGAACGGGUGAGUAAUAUAUCGGAACGUACCCAAGAGUGGGGGAUAACGUAGCGAAAGUUACGCUAAUACCGUAUACGAUCCAAGGAUGAAAGCAGGGGACCUUCGGGCCUUGUGCUCCUGGAGCGGC
This 200-nucleotide ribosomal RNA is filed under the name uncultured bacterium. Its description in RNAcentral is "partial 16S ribosomal RNA". It matches the Rfam family "Bacterial small subunit ribosomal RNA", at positions 30 to 230 of the family's 1533-position model. The record is from RNAcentral.